AUUGAACGCUGGCGGCAGGCCUAACACAUGCAAGUCGAGCGGAUGAAGGGAGCUUGCUCCUGGAUUCAGCGGCGGACGGGUGAGUAAUGCCUAGGAAUCUGCCUGGUAGUGGGGGAUAACGUCCGGAAACGGGCGCUAAUACCGCAUACGUCCUGAGGGAGAAAGUGGGGGAUCUUCGGACCUCACGCUAUCAGAUGAGCCUAGGUCGGAUUAGCUAGUUGGUGGGGUAAAGGCCUACCAAGGCGACGAUCCGUAACUGGUCUGAGAGGAUGAUCAGUCACACUGGAACUGAGACACGGUCCAGACUCCUACGGGAGGCAGCAGUGGGGAAUAUUGGACAAUGGGCGAAAGCCUGAUCCAGCCAUGCCGCGUGUGUGAAGAAGGUCUUCGGAUUGUAAAGCACUUUAAGUUGGGAGGAAGGGCAGUAAGUUAAUACCUUGCUGUUUUGACGCUACCAACAGAAUAAGCACCGGCUAACUUCGU
This 483-nucleotide ribosomal RNA is filed under the name uncultured bacterium. RNAcentral describes it as "partial 16S ribosomal RNA". It matches the Rfam family "Bacterial small subunit ribosomal RNA", at positions 30 to 506 of the family's 1533-position model. The record is from RNAcentral.